This 449-nucleotide ribosomal RNA is filed under the name uncultured bacterium. Its description in RNAcentral is "SSU rRNA". It matches the Rfam family "Bacterial small subunit ribosomal RNA", at positions 26 to 518 of the family's 1533-position model. The record is from RNAcentral.
AGAGCGAACGCUGGCGGCAGGCUUAACACAUGCAAGUCGAGCGGGCGUAGCAAGUACGUCAGCGGCAGACGGGUGAGUAACGCGUGGGAACAUACCUUUUGGUUCGGAACAACACAGGGAAACUUGUGCUAAUACCGGAUAAGCCCUUACGGGAAAGAUUUAUCGCCGAAAGAUUGGCCCGCGUCUGAUUAGCUAGUUGGUGAGGUAACGGCUCACCAAGGCGACGAUCAGUAGCUGGUCUGAGAGGAUGAUCAGCCACAUUGGGACUGAGACACGGCCCAAACUCCUACGGGAGGCAGCAGUGGGGAAUAUUGGACAAUGGGCGCAAGCCUGAUCCAGCCAUGCCGCGUGAGUGAUGAAGGCCCUAGGGUUGUAAAGCUCUUUUGUGCGGGAAGAUAAGUGACGGUACCGCAAGAAUAACGCCCGGCUAACUUCGUGCCAGCAGCCGC